RNAcentral lists this long non-coding RNA (13989 nucleotides) under Gossypium raimondii (Peruvian cotton). RNAcentral's name for it is "long non-coding RNA (GRAI_LNC006809)". Lineage: Eukaryota; Viridiplantae; Streptophyta; Magnoliopsida; Malvales; Malvaceae. The record is from RNAcentral.
CCUUGACCAAGACACCUGUGCUUACGCGGUGGCGUCCACAGGCAAGCGCUGUGUGCUCGAGAAGCACGUCAAGAGGAGCGGUGAAGAAGAAUACACUUGCCGUACCUCCGAGAUCGAAGCCGAUAAGAUCAACAACUGGAUCGAAACUGAUCAGUGCGUUAAAUCGUGCGGCCUCGACCGGAAAUCAUUCGGUAUCUCCUCCGAUUCCCUCCUCGAGUCUCGCUUCACCGAAAUGCUUUGCUCUCCUCAAUGCUACAACGGUUGCCCCAACAUCAUCGAUCUUUACUUCAACCUCGCCGCCGGAGAAGGUAACAUUUUAGUUUUAGCGUUAAAUAACAACUCGAAUACGAGACCCAACAUAACCGUGUCUUGUCUUUGGCAGGUAUUUUUCUUCCGAAAUUAUGUGAAGCACAAAAAGGAAACAUACGUAGAGGAAUGUCGGAGAUUCGGAGCUCCGGUAUGGUUGCCCCGGGACCCGUCGGCGGUGUGAAGUUUUGGGGAGUUGCUCCGGCAAUGGCCCCAUACUAAAAGCUUUCGGGAAAUUUUCAUAAAGUUGUAGUAAUUUUGAAAUAAAGGGAAAGUUGCACUAUAGCUAAGGGUUUUUCUUAAAGCCGGGUUCUUUAAGUGCAUGAACCGGCGUAUAAUUUGGUUCGUGCAUGAUUUUGAGCCAUGAGCUUGGUGUGUUCAACCCAAUAAGAUGCCACUUUCUAUUAAAUAGGUUUGCUUAUUGUAAUGGGUGUGAAAAAGAAACAAUGUUAUGAAAUUUAUAAAAGUAUACUUAUAUUUGUGUGAUUUAUUCUAAAUUUGCAACCUUUCUUUGUGUUAAUAUUAUGGGAUGGAAAAUGAUCCAAAAAAAUGAAAAUCAUAUUUACCUCCUGAGUUUGUUUUUUUUUUUUCCUUCAAAUAACGCCGUGCAUUGUGGUUUAAACCCUCCCAAAAGCACAACGCUGCCUAUUUUUCUUCAAAUUUUGACUGCCAAAAGAAUAAUUGUGCUCCAUAAUCGAGGAAUCAACUAUUUGAUAUAUUUAUUUCAAAGCCCCAGUUUAUUGCUUUGUUGCAAAUCAUAAUAUAACAACCCGUUUUUUAGUGGUGUCCGAAACAGUAGUUUCGGGGCCAUCAAGUUCGACGAGUAAGUUCGUAAAUAUUAUUAUUUAAUAUUUACGAGUUAAAUGUGAUUUUUAAAAAGGUUUUUGAUUUGAUAAUUUAUGUUAUAUAAGUGAUUUAUUAAGUCCAAAUGGUUUUAGAAAAUAAGGUACCGGGACUUUGUUUUUAUAAAUUGAGCCAUAAAUAUUUUUAUAAAUAUUUACGGAAUGUCAUUAAGGUAAUAUUAAAGCUCCGUUAAGAAAUUUUGAGAUGGCAAUUCCAACAAUUUAUUCCACACAUUAUUUUGGGAAAGAAAACGUAAAAGACAAUUAUUUAGAGAAGUAACACCUAAUUUGAGAAAUAAAGAUCAUUUGAAAAAUCAAAGUCUUUAUAAUAAACAACUCAUGGAUUUUGGGGUUAAGCUCCAACCGUCCGAUAAUUCCCAAAUUAUUAAGACUUUAAAAAAAAUGAAACUUUGGGAAAAAAAUAAAAAUAUCUUUCAUUUAAAAUUUUUCUAAGAAUUGUACAUCAUUAAUUUAAAUUAAUUUAAAAUUUAACAAUGAUAAAAUUAAAUAAAAUAAACCAUAAAAUUAUUACAUAAUUUAACAUAUGGAAAUAAUGAAAAUACUGAUUCGAAAUAAGGAAUUCGGAUGAUUAACUUGCAAAUCAAUUAAAUCGAUUUUUAUGUUUUUUAAUAAUUUAUUCUAUUAAAUUGAAAAAAAUAAUUAACUUAAAAAUCGAUAAUUUAACGGAGCUGAUUGAAAUUUUGAAAACCUUAAUUUUUUAUUUUUUAUUUAUAAAUUACAGUGUUCCCAAAAGUUUGGGUGAAAGGGUCCCAAAGUACGUUUGAUCACUCCUUUCCUUUUUCUUUUGGGUCAAAAUGUUGUCUUAAAAUUCGGUGCAAAAGCCCAUGAAUUUACUCCAUAAUCGUGGGGAGUGGGAACUACAAUGGUCAAAACAAUAACCGUCUUGAAGAGAAACAUACGUACAAUUUUUGCCGUAAUUGACGCUCUGUCAAACAAAUUUCCACAUCUUGGAAAUGUAUUUAGCAGCCCGUCCUAACAAAAAUUCUGAUAGUGAAAUAUUUAGUACUUAAACUUUGUUAAUUUUUUUAUUUUGGUCUUUGAACUUUCUUUUAUUCAUAUUAGAAUAGUUUUUGAAUUUGAAUUCGGUUAAAAUAUGACAAUGUGACCCUCUGAAAUAAUUUCUUUAUAUUUUUGUGUUUUUUUAGAUUUGAUAUAUUUUUAAAAGUUUAAAAUUUUGCCGAGCUCAAUAAGAGAUUUGUUGAUUGAUGAUCGUAAUGGCUCUAAAUCAGUUUAAUAUAAAUUAGUUGAUAUAAUUGUUUUGUGAUGUAUUUUUUAUGUAAAAAAAAUAUUAUUUUGAUAGAAUAUAAAAUGGUUUAUAUGUACUCAUUGAUGCUAUAUAUUAUAGAAUGUUAAUUAAUAAAUGAUAAGUUAUCACCUCAUUCUGAAGAAAAUCUAAAAGUUGUUUAUUUUCAGAAUGAUGAGGAUAUCAUCCAAAAUUCUUUAGAUUAUUUUUUAUUUUUUAAUUUAUAAUUAUUUUUUAAUAAUUGGGUUCAGGGUAAAAUCGUUUUUACCUUGUCUGACUUUCCAUUUCAUUAUGAUUUUUAUAUUAUUUUUUUUAUAAAUAAUCUUACUUAAACUCUUUUAAAUAUUAUUUUUAUUUUUCAUAUUAUUUAAUUAAAUAUUUAUGAUAAAAAAGUUAUAUGACAAAUAUUUAUGAUACACCCGUGAUGUAAGUGAAAAAAAUUCAAGUAAUAAUUAUAUUUAUAAAACAUUAUAAUAAAAUAAAUUAAUUAAAAUGAUAAAAUUAAAGUUUUGAAAGAUAUAUCUUAAGUUUAAAUCGCAUAAUAUUUAUUUCUUUUUCUAGAUUUAUAUAAAAAUAUUAAAAAUAAAAACUUCUCACAAUAACAUUUCUUAAAAAGAAUUGCAUGUAUAUGGCGUGUUUGCAUUUGAAAGGUUGGCAUAAAAGGAGGCAGGAAAAUUGCCGUAAUUGGAUGCAUUGUUAAUGGUUUUUCUACAUGCAUAAAAUCUAAACGGGUUUAGAAUAUACUUUGUUAUAUAUAGAUUAUACUUAAGAAAUUAUUAAUUAUGUAUUAAAUAUGUUUAUAAAAAAAUAAUUUAGAUUUUGAAAUGUUAAAAAUCAUAAAUUUUUCAUUUUUAAGAUUUAUUUUAAAUUUAAAUUGAAUUUUAAUAACUUUUAUAUAAAAAUAUAAAAACACUUUCAAAUAAUAUUUUUUUACUUUUUCUGAAAUAAUUUUUUUAGAAUGAUUUAUUAGUCGAUUAAGUUUGUGACGUCACAUUACAUAUAAAAUCCAAUGCUACAUAAAUAUCAUGUUUAAAGUUUAAACACGUGUAAAAGAAAUCUGCUUCUUUGCUUACGACCUGCCAAGCGGGGGUCACUAACUUCAUAGUUACGAAGGAAUUCCAAAUAACGACCUUUUACUGUCACUGAACAUUAAAGUAAGGUUCGUGUCAAUUUCUAACUCGAAAAAUCAACCAUGUGAGUUGAUUUUUCAACUCUCCACUGCCAAACCCCCCAAAUAAACCCACUAUAAAACACCCUUUUCUCAACCCCUUCCCCCCAUCAAUCUUGCCAUACCUGUUAAUAAACACAACAAAAAUCUCAGCUAGCUAGCUUUUCCCCUCCAUUAAAAUCCAUGGCUUCCACCAUUAGCAGGAAGAUGACCUUGGCUAUCCUUGCUCUGGCAUUAUUCUCCUAUUGCUUACAAGCCACACUAGGUUAAUUUGCAUUAUUUGUUACGUUAAAUAGCAUUGAUUUAAGCCUUUUAAGAUUAUAACUAUAUGCGUGUGUGUGUGUGUUUUGUUGUAGGGGAAAUAAUAUGUGAACACCUUGACCAAGACACCUGUGCUUACGCGGUGGCGUCCACAGGCAAGCGCUGUGUGCUCGAGAAGCACGUCAAGAGGAGCGGUGAAGAAGAAUACACUUGCCGUACCUCCGAGAUCGAAGCCGAUAAGAUCAACAACUGGAUCGAAACUGAUCAGUGCGUUAAAUCGUGCGGCCUCGACCGGAAAUCAUUCGGUAUCUCCUCCGAUUCCCUCCUCGAGUCUCGCUUCACCGAAAUGCUUUGCUCUCCUCAAUGCUACAACGGUUGCCCCAACGUCAUCGAUCUUUACUUCAACCUCGCCGCCGGAGAAGGUAACAUUUUAGUUUUAGCGUUAAAUAACUACUCGAAUACGAGACCCAACAUAACCGUGUCUUGUCUUUGGCAGGUAUUUUUCUUCCGAAAUUAUGUGAAGCACAAAAAGGAAACAUACGUAGAGGAAUGUCGGAGAUUUGGAGCUCCGGUAUGGUUGCCCCGGGACCCGUCGGCGGUGUGAAGUUUUGGGGAGUUGCUCCGGCAAUGGCCCCAUACUAAAAGCUUUCGGGAAAUUUUCAUAAAGUUGUAGUAGUUUUGAAAUAAAGGGAAAGUUGCACUAUAGCUAAGGGUUUUUCUUAAAGCCGGGUUCUUUAAGUGCAUGAACCGGCGUAUAAUUUGGUUCGUGCAUAAUUUUGAGCCAUGAGCUUGGUGUGUUCAACCCAAUAAGAUGCCACUUUCUAUUAAAUAGGUUUUCUUAUUGUAAUGGGUGUGAAAAAGAAACAAUGUUAUGAAAUUUAUAUAAGUAUACUUAUAUUUGUGUGAUUUAUUCUAAAUUUGCAACCUUUCUUUGUGUUAAUAUUACGGGAUGGAAAAUGAUCCAAAAAAUGAAAAUCAUAAUUACUUCCUGAGUUUGUUUUUUUUUUCCCUUUAAAUAACACCGUGCAUUGUAGUUUAAACCCUCCCAAAAGCACAACGCUGCCUAUUUUUCUUCAAAUUUUGACUGCCAAAAGAAUAAAUGUGCUCCAUAAUCGAGGAAUCAACUAAUUGAUAUAUUUAUUUCAAAGGCCCAGUUUAUUGCUUUGUUGCAAAUCAUAAUAUAACAACCCGUUUUUUAGUGGUGUCCGAAACAGUAGUUUCGGGACCAUCAAGUUCGACGAGUAAGUUCGUAAAUAUUAUUAUUUAAUAUUUACAUGUUAAAUGUGAUUUUUAAAAAGGUUUUUGAUUUGAUAAUUUAUGUUAUAUAAGUGAUUUAUUAAGUCCAAAUGGUUUUAGAAAAUAAGGUACCGGGACUUUGUUUUUAUAAAUUGAGCCGUAAAUAUUUAUAAAAUAUUUACGGAGUGUCAUCGAGGUAGUAUUAAAGUUCUGUUAAGAAAUUUUAAUGUUUCGAUAGUUAAUUAAUUAAAAAGGAUCAAGUUAAAAAAAGUGCAUUCCAGGGACUCCGUUCCCGUAAAUCGGACUCGUAAAUAGGAGUUAGUUGUGUAGUUAAUUAGGUUUCAGUUAAGUGAAUUUGCUUGAAUUAAAAGUAAUUAGGUACAAGGACUAAAUUGCAUAUAGGGUAAAAGUUGAAUUAUAUCUUAAAGAAAAUUAAGGGACUAAAGAAGCAAUUAUGCCAUUGACAUUAAUUGAGGUGGCAUAAGUAAGAUAUUUGUGAAUUUAUUAUAUAUAUUAUAAAAUAAAAACCUUAAGUAUUAAGUAUAUAUAUUAUAUUAUAUAAUAAAUUAAUGUAUAAUAAACAAUUGUUUAAAGUUCAAUUGGUUAGUGUCCCUUUUUCUUUUAAUUUUUAUGUUUUUGGAAUCCCGGUAUUAAAUACUACAAGAUCCAUGUCAAAAUUUUAGAAAUUAUUAAGUUUUUAAAUGUUGUUAAUGUUGAAUAAUUUUAGUAUUAGGGAUUAAAUUGAUAGAUUUUUAAGUUACAAGUGAAAAAGAAUUGAAUUUUAAAAUAAAUUGUAAAUUUUGAGUAAUAGGGACUAAAUUGUGAAAAAUUCAAAAUUUAAAGAUUUAAGUGAAACUAGAGAGUUAAAUCUAGUUUAAAGUGGAAAUUGAAUGAAAAUAUAGAAUUGAUUGUGAAGAAAUAAAAGUAGUCUCGGUUUAGGGACUAAAUUGGAAUUUAGACAAAUGUUGAGUAAAAAUUGAAAUAUGCAAUAUGGAAUUGAAUUGUAUUGUAUUGAUGAAUUUUAAUUUAUUUAUUGCACAACUAAAGUCAUACCGAAAUCCUAGACUAAAAAGGGGAAAGAUAAAGUCAACGAGGAAUAGCUUGGAAUUUCUGAUUUGUAUUUCUAAAAUCUGAAUCUAGUUAUUAAUAGUUGUAUUUUGAUUUAAUGCUUAUGGUAAGUGGUUGAGGUGAGUAUUUGACACUUUGACAUUGAAUUGAAUUAAAAGUUGAUUGAAUGGAUUGAACUGAUUUUUUGAAUUGAAAUGAAUAUAUAUGUGCAAAUAUGAUAAUUGAAUAUUGGUUGUAUUUGGAAAGUGAAAUUAAACCCUAUUAACUGUAUCGGGCUGAGUCGGAUAUAGAUGGCAUGUCAUAAGAUUGGAAGAGUUCAGGGAUUUCUUCGACUUCGAUUCGAUGAGACACUGGGUGUCAAUUUACUACUUCAGAUUAAUUCGAUGAGGCACUGGAUGCCAAUUUACUUCGGUUUAGCCGAUGAGACACUGGGUGUCAAAUUAUUACUUUGAAUUAUCCGAUGAGGCACUGGGUGCCAAACUGGUGAGGUGGUUGGAUCCGUGUAUCUGUUCGAGUCAGAGUCGUGUGAAUAGGGGUAAAUGAAUAAAUAAGUUCUAUAAUUGAUAUUGAAAUAGUAUAGUAUGAGAAAUGGAAAUGAAAUAGCUAAUUGAGUAUGGAAUGAAUAAAGCAACUGUAUAAAUGAAAUGUGAGUUAAACUGUGAAAAACUAUUUAUAUAGCAAGCAUGAGAAUUGAGAUAUUUGUGAAACAAGUGAAAAAUGAUAUGGUUGUUGUAAUAUUUAAAUAUUAAUAUGUGUUUAUAUUUCAAUUGUAUAUUUGUAAUUUUUUAUCUUUAAAUAUUCGGAUUAUAGAAAUACCACUAAGUUUUACUCAGCGUAUGAUUUUGUUUCCCUUGCGCAAGUUAGGUACUUAACUUUUGAUCGUCCAUUCAACAUCUAACAAUGAGCCCGAACUCAAAUGUGGUGAUAUUUAUCCUUUGUGUUGGCAUGUCGUUAGGGUGUCUAAAUAAUAGUUAUUUUGUGAUUUGAUUGCAAAUGAGGUUAUAAGUUUAAUUUUGAUUGGUUUUAUACAUAUAAAUAUGUGUUUGUUUUUGAAGACAUAUUAUGGCAUGAUAAAUUGAACAAAUCUAGAUAGGUGCAUGUGAAUUUAAUUCUAUGUUUAAGUGCUCAUAAACUAGGCAAAUUGAUUUGGAUUUGGUAUGUUUAUAUUUUGGAUUAAAAUGAUGCUUUGAUGACUUGUUUUAAUGAUAUAAAAUGUUUGAAAUUUCUAUCUGUUUGAUCUGUAAACUCCGGUAAUGCUUCGUAACCUAGUUCCAGUGAGGGAUACGGGUUGGGGGUGUUUCACAUAACUAAUCUUAUCUAUGUUGAAUUAGGCGAAGUUGGGAUUUAUUUGAAGUUUGAUUUAAUAUAAUACACAAAUUUAAAAAAGGUUUAUAUGUUUAAAAAUAUCUUAAGAAAAUAUAAAUAAAUUUAUGUAUUAAUUUCACAUCCAAUUAAGUUUUUGUCAUUAAUUAAAAUAAUCAAUUAAGUCCCUCUAUUAACGGUAUUUGUCAUUGAUUAUGUUGACCGUUAAAAUAAAUUAGCGAACCAAUCAAAUGGUGACACGUGAUAAUUUUUGGUUUAAUCUAGUAUUUUUCUAAUAAAAGUGAUUAAAAUAUCACAAAAAAAAUGAAAAUUGUUAUAAACUUGUAAAAAUUAUAAUUGAAUUCCACAAUAGCCAUCACUUUUGCUUCCCAUUCUUUUGGCAGGUUAUUGAGUAAUCUAGUCAUCAUUUCUUUGUUGGAAUAAGCCUUUCCAAGUGCCUCCAAUCCAUUAAUGAUGUUGGUCAAUCUAUUAGACAUGUCUUUGAUGCUCUCCUCCGUCUUCAUCUUGAAAAGCUCAUAGUCAAGUGUGAGUAAAUCAAUCUUGCAUUCCUUGGCUUGGCUUGUUCUUUCAUGAAUAGUGGCAAGUUUGUCCCAAAUCUCCUUGGCACUUCGACAUUGGGACACUUUAUUAUACUCAUUAGGUCAUAAUGCACAAAAAAGGGCGUGUGUUGCCUUAGCAUUGAGUUGAGCCUUCUUUUUGUCACAUUCUUCCUACUCAUCUUCUGUAACAGCCCAAUUUUCAGUAGUUUCAGAACAGUGAUUUGAGAUCACUAAAUUCGAUGAAAAAGUUAGAAAAUUUUAUUAAUUAAUAAUUAUAAGUUAAGCGUGAUUUUAGAAAUAUUUUUGAAUGAGUGAAUUUUAUGAUUUUAAGAAAAAAUUAUUAGGUAAAUUGGGUCAAAAACGAGGUAUCGAGACCUCAAUAUUAUAAACUGAGUUGUAAAUAUUUUUAAAAAUAUUUACGGAGUGUCGUUAGGGUUGUAUUAAAUUUUCGUUAAGAAAUUUUAAUGUUCCGAUGAUUAAUUGAUUAAAAAUAUUGAAUUAAAAAAAGGGUAUUCCCGGGAAUUUGUUCCGAUAAAUCGGACUCGUGAAUAUUUAUUAUAAAUAUUUACGAAGUUAGUUGUGUAGUUAAUUAGAUUUUGAUUAAGUGAAUUUGUCUAAAUUGAGGUUAAUUAUGAAAAAGGAUUAAAUUGCAAUAGAGAUAAAAGUUUAAUUAUAAAUUAAAGAAAAGUUAAAAGGACCAAAUAGGCAAUUAUGCCAUCAGCCUAAAUUGAGGCGGCAUAAUGAAAGAAAUAUCUGAGAUAUUUUAGUUUAUAUUAUAUUAUGUUUUCUUAAAUAAUAAGUAUAUUGUUAUAUUAUAUUAUUAUAUUAUUAUAUUAUUAUAAUAAAAGAAACAAUGAAAUAGAAGAUAGAAAAAGAGAAUAGAAACAGAGAGCAAAACGAAAACAGGGGAGAAAGGAAAGAAAAAGAAAAAGGGAAGGAAAGAAGGAAAAUUUGGGGUUUUAAGGUUCAAAGUUAAUUUGGUAAGUCAAUUUAAUCCAUUUUCUCUUAGUUUUGAUGUUUUUGGAAUCCUAGAGAUAAAUAUUGCUUGAUUUAUGUUGAUAUUUUGAAAGUUUAUUAGAUUAUUAGAUCUUGUUCAUGUUGAAUUAAUUGAUGAAUUAGGGGUUAAAUUGAUUGAAAUUCAAGUUAGAAGUUAAUAAAGGAUUUAAUUGUAAAAUAAAGUGUAAGUUUUGAAUAGUAGGGACUAAAUUGAAAGAAUCCCGAAAUUAGGAAUUUAUGAUAAAAAUGAAGAGUUAAAAUGAGUUUAUAGUAAGAAUUAAGAAAGAAUAUGGAGAUAGAUUGGGAAAAAUAAAGUUAGUAUUGAUAAGGGAUUAAAUUAGAAUUUAGGUAAAGUUUAGAUAUAAAUGAAAAUAUUUUGAUGAAAUUGUGUAUUAAUGAUUUUUAAUUGUUUAAUUACGUAGCUAAUGUCGUGCAAGAGUCAUUGUCCGAGAAAGGAAAUGAGAAGGUGAACAAUGAGUGACUCGAGAGAAAUUUCGGUUAGUAUUACCAUAAUUCGAAUUUAAUUAUUAAUUGUUGACAUUUAAAUUAAUAUACAUGAUAAGCAAAUUAAGGUAAAUAUCAUGAUUGAAUUGAAUAAAUAUAUAUAUAUAUAUAUAUACGUAUUGAUAUUGAAUUUAUUGAUAGUAAUUGUUAAAUUUUGAAUAAUAUGUUUAGUAAAUAAAAAUAAGGUGAAUCUCGAUAUUGAAUUAAAUGAAUUAAAAAUAUGAAUUGAAUAAAAGUGAACUAAAUUAUGAUUAUGUGUGAAUAUGUGAAUUGUGUGUAGAUUAAAAAAUGGUUUGAAUUGAAUCAAAGUAUGAUUUUAUGUGAAUAUCUGAAACAUGUAUUGGUAUUGAAUUGUAUAUUGAUUAGAAAGUAGGAAGUGAAUCUGAAUUGAAUUGUGAUUGAAUCGAAAGUGAAUUUGAAAUAGAAAAAUGUAUUGAAUCAAAUGGUGAUUAAAUUGGAAUGAUUUGAAUUGAAAUGAUGAGAAAGUGAUUGAAUUGAAAUGUGAUCCGGAAACCCUAUUAACUAGUCGGGCUGAGUCGGAUAUAGUUGGCAUGCCAUAGGAUUGGAAGAGUUCAGGGAUACUUCGACCUCGAGUCGAUGAGACACUGGGUGUCAUACUGUUACUUCGGAUAGAUUCGAUGAGGUACUGGGUACCAACUUACUUCGGCUUGGCCGAUGAGACACUGGGUGUCACUUUAUUGCUUCGAACUAUCCGAUGAGGCACUGGGUGUCAUUCUGGUGUGUUUGGUUGGAUCCGUGUAUCCGCCAAAGUCCGAGUCAAGUUAAUAGGGGUAAAUGAAUAAAUUAUGAUAAUAUAAAAUUUGUUGAAUGAUCUUGAAUAUGAAUUGAAAUAAGAUAUUCAAUUGAGACAUGGAAAUGAAAUGUAUGAACCAUUGGUUCAAGAAAUAGAUAACGAUAUAGUUCAUGAAAUGGUUUUGGUAGUAUAAGAUGAUGUAAAAAUAUAAAUAAAGAAAAGCAAAUUGAAAUAGCUAUUGCUAAGAAAUGAGAAGUGAAAAUAAAAUGAUUUGAAAUAGUGAAAUAAUAUGUGAAUUUAAUUGAAUACAAGUUAUUGAAAUUUAUUUAUGGAUUUAAUGAAUAAAUUGAGUGAUAAAAGAUUUUAAGUAUAAAUUGAAUAUAAAUAGAAAUGAUAAUGAAUGAGUUGAUAAAUUGAUUGAAUUUGUAUGAAUUUGGAAUGAGUUAUUAGAAUGAGAUGUGGAAAAAAAUUCAAUGAAAUUGAGACAGUGAAAUAAGGUACGAGUACAAUUAAAUACAAGAUUUAAAAUAUUGCUUAUUGUUAUUAAUUAUCAAGUUGAUUUAAAGUACGAAAUAAUUAAUGAAUAAUUGUAGACAUCAAUUAAAUGUAUAUAAUUUAUUGAUUAAUGUUAUUAAUUUGAAUUAUGGUAAUACCACUGAGUAUUCCUAUACUCAGUGUACGGUUGUUUCUGUGCGCAGGUUAAGUUAAAGUCGGAUUGUUGAAUCAGCAUCCAAAGCCGAUUCUAAACUAAUUGUGGUGGUGAACAUUUCUUUUAGGUAUGGCAUGUAUAGGAAUUUAGUCAUUUUGUAUGUUUGUAAUUAUAAUUUUGCUAUAGAAUGAUGUGUAAGUAUUUGACAAUGAAUGGUUGUUUAAAAGGUCAAGGAUGAAGUUAUUUGUUGUUAUAGAAGUCUAGGUGAUAAAUUAUGUACGAAAAUCAUGAAAGGGUAAAAUUUUGCAAAGAAACAGAAUUCAGGCAGCAACAGUGAUGUGACUUUGAAAAAUCACCUAGGAUAGUAUAAAGUGAAUUAGAGGGUGAAUGAUAUAUAGAAUUAAAUCUUGAUGAGUCUAUUUUCAUAGAAAAAUAACGGUUUAACAAAAGGAAUUUUAUAUUUUGAGAUAUGAGAAUUUUAAUAAGACAGGGUCGGUCAAAUUUGUUUUUGGAGUCCCCUGUUCUGAGUUUAGAAAAUCAUUAAAAACUGUAUAAAAAUGGUUAUAUAUGUAUAAAUUCCUUAUUGAGUCUAUUUUCUGUAGAAACAAGUAAGAAUUACAUAUGAAAAUCCUACAGUGAGAAAUUUUAUUUUUAGUGGCAAGAGGACAGGACAGUUAAGUAGUGAAAUAGGGAAGACUUUAACUAAUAAGCUGUACUAAUUGGCUGAACCAAAAAUUCUGAAAUUUUUAUGGUAAGUAGAUAUAUGAGUCUAGUUUCAGGAAAAAUUUACGGAGUUAAAUUUCAAGUUCCGUAGCUCGAUUUAUAAUUAAUUUAGUAAUUGCUGCGCGAUUAGACAGAUUGCUGUAAAUAGUGAAAUUAAUUUUCAAAACAAGUUUUUAUGCUUCGAAUUAGUGUGAUAAGCUAAGUAAUGUCUCGUGCUCGACUUCGGCAACGGUCUCGGGUAAGGGGUGUUACAUCUUCGUUCUUGGGUAUUAUCGAAAACUAUUUGUGAUUAUCCUCCAAACAUGGCAAUUAUUUGUUUGAAUGAAGAGCUUUUUCCUUGUCUUCUAAUAUGAGUAGCUCUCUCCAUUAAAAAAUGGUGGUCUCGCAAUUGAUUGACCAUCACCCAAGCUAGUUGCGCCAAAAUCUAGGCAUAGCAAUGGGCAGAGCAAGUAUUGCUAAAUACACUAUUGUUUUAUAUUUGGUACACUUUGCUCCACUACUUAGCCUGCUUCACUAUGGGUGUAUAAUAUUAAAAUUUACUACCACCUUCCUGGAUAUUAGAUGCAUCUAUUUCUGCUCCAACCUCGCUCCGCUUCAAUUUAAUUGUUACUACUUAUAUUUAAUAUUUUCAAUCUUUUUAAAGUCAAAUAAAUAAUUAAAUAUAUUUAUUCAAAAAAAUAUUUAAACAUAAAUAUAUAAUUUUGUAUAUUAUAUUAUUACAUUUUUACCCUUUUAAUAGUUUAUAUAUACAAUCAUAAAAUGAUAAUUUUAUAUAGUGGAGUGGAUUAGAGCAGGGCAAGCAAUUAAUUAUCAUAAUUGCUUCAUACCUAUUAUCCAAAAGAAAAAGUCACCCCGUCCCGCCUCGAAUCCACUUUUUAAACAAAAAAAAUUAACUCCAUUCAGAGUGAAUCAGUUUGGAUUUAUAAAAAAUUUAUAUGACAAAUAUUUAUGAUACACCCGUGAUGUAAGUGAAAAAAAUUCAAGUAAUAAUUAUAUUUAUAAAACAUUAUAAAAUAAAAAAUUUAAUUAAAAUGAUAAAAUUAAAGUUUUCAAAGAUAUAUCUUAAGUUUACAUCGCAUAAUAUUUAUAUCUUUUUCUAGAUUUAUAUAAAAAUAUUAAAAAUAAAAAAUUCUCACAAUAACAUUUCUUAUUUUAUGAAAAUGAAUUUUAAAUAAAUUUACAGCCGACUGAUAUCAACUUAAAAAGAAUUGCAUGUAUAUGGUCAAAGAACACGUGUUUGCAUUUGAAAGGCUGGCAUAAAAGGAGGCAGGAAAAUUGCCGUAAUUGGAUGCAUUGUUAAUGGUUUUUGUUAUAUAUAGAUUAUAAUUAAGAAAUUAUUAAUUAUGUAAUAAAUAUGUUUAUAAAACAAUAAAAUAGAUUUUGAAAUGUUAAAGUUGAGCUUUAAAAAUCAUAAAAUUUUCAUUUUUAAGAUUUAUUUUAAAUUUAAAUUUAAUUUAAUAGCUUUAAUAUAAAAAUAUAAAAACACUUUCAAAUAAUAUUUUUUACUUUUUCUUAAAUAAUUUUUUUAGAAUGAUUUAAUAGUCGAUUAAGUUUGUGACAUCACAUUACAUAUAAAAUCCAAUGCUACAUAAAUAUCAUGUUUAAAGUUUAAACACGUGUAAAAGAAAUCUGCUUCUUUGCUUACGACCUGCCAAGCGGGGGUCACUAACUUCAUAGUUACGAAGGAAUUCCAAAUAACGACCUUUUACUGUCACUGAACAUUAAAGUAAGGUUCGUGUCAAUUUCUAACUCGAAAAAUCAACCAUGUGAGUUGCUUUUUCGACUCUCCAUUGCCAAACCCCCCAAAUAAACCCACUAUAAAACACCCUUUUCUCAACCCCUUCCCCCCAUCAAUCUUGCUGUUAAUAAACACAACAAAAAUCUCAGCUAGCUAGCUUUUCCCCUCCAUUAAAAUCCAUGGCUUCCACCAUUAGCAGGAAGAUGACCUUGGCUGUCCUUGCUCUCGCAUUUUUCUCCUCUUGCUUACAAGCCACACUAGGUUAAUUUGCAUUAUUUGUUACAUUAAAUAGCAUUGCUUUAAGCCUUUUAAGAUUAUAACUAUAUGUGUGUGUGUUUUGUUGUAAGGGAAAUAAUAUGUGAACACCUUGACCAAGACACCUGUGCUUACGCGGUGGCGUCCACAGGCAAGCGCUGUGUGCUCGAGAAGCACAUCAAGAGGAGCUGUGAAGAAGAAUACACUUGUCGUACCUCCGAGAUCGAAGCCGAUAAGAUCAACAACUGGAUCGAAACCGAUCAGUGCGUUAAAUCGUGCGGCCUCGACCGGAAAUCAUUCGGUAUCUCCUCCGAUUCCCUCCUCGAGUCUUGCUUCACCGAAAUGCUUUGCUCUCCUCAAUGC